This is a long non-coding RNA of Bicyclus anynana (squinting bush brown), 1444 nucleotides long. RefSeq lists it as uncharacterized. The record is from RefSeq and is a predicted model, not a curated record. Lineage: Eukaryota; Metazoa; Arthropoda; Insecta; Lepidoptera; Nymphalidae. The transcript has 2 exons.
AUUCAUUUUCUAUACCUGUAUUUUUGUGAUUCGAGCUGAGAAGGAGGGAUGAAUGCAAUGAGCUGUAUGAGGUUUCGCUGGUCUGACCAUGGAUACACCACCCAAGCGGCGUAAGUGUUGCAAAAGGUUCUCCUGCUUUGCCUUCAACUACUUGUAGUGGUAAUAAUAAAUGAUAAUUAUCUUGCCCUAUCAAUAUUUCGGGCUUAUAAUGUGCGAGAUUAAUUUUAUUUUUUACUUCAGAUAAAUAAUCGUAUUGCGUAAUGCAUAAAUUCGAGGAAUCUUGCGCAGGUAAACUCAAGUUGUCUACACUAUUUCCCGUUAACGAAUAUAGUUGGCCGUCUCUGUUUGUCACAGUAAAUUUCAGUGACUCGCUGUCGCAUUCUACUGCAUUGUUCCAUGCGCCACACACGCGCAUCUUUGUGUGACGUCCGUGUAAACCAACGCGCGCCGCCAGCUCCGAGUUUAUUAGUGUGACAGUUGACCCGUCGUCGAGUAACGCGCUUGUAGUCUCGGUUCCGCUCGGUCCAUGUAUGAGCAAAGUUACUACCUUUAGAAGUACAUUACGACUAUCCAUAAUGUGUGUUACUUGCUGCGCUUCCGUGUUCAUCUCGCUGUCGUUCGGUCGAAACUCGGACUCAGGCGCGGCCGUGAUGUUUUCAUUUCGUAAAUUGUGGUUAUCGUAGUGCAAUAAUCGGUGGUGCGCCUUACCGCAGCCGUCCUUGUCGCACCUAGGCGCCGGGCAAUGGUCUCUGUCGUGCUUAAUAGGUGCAAGACAUUGAAAACAUAAACGAUAUCGUUUCACGUGAUGCCAGCGAUCCUUGCGUAGUGCCUUCUUAAAUAAUUUGCAGUCCGGUAGAUUGUGGACUUUAGACUCACCGCGAUCGUUACAGUAGCUGCAUUUUAUUCUUACAUUUGUGUUAGACUCGCUUUGCACUAAUACGUUAUGCGACUUCGUGUAGUUUUCGGCGUAUGGUUUUCUUUUAUAACUGUGCUCGGGCUUAAUGUAAUUAAUAAUACUUGCGGUUUUUGUUGUUUUGACUGCUUCGUCCGUUAAAAACUCGGAUAGUAUGACGAGCUUAGGCUUUGUUCCGUCUAUAAUACGCGGAUAACUGUAGUCCGUCCAUUUUGCUAACAGGACCGUCGGGAACUUAGCUAAUACGGCCGACAUGAUGUUCAUGUUUUUCAGGUACUCAUCCUCUCCGAUCGCGACGACUGCUGCCACGAAGUUCUGGAUUUUGACCGCGAACUUGACUAUAUCUUUAUGAUAUUCGUCUGCUAAGUGUCGCGGUGUUUCUGCUCCCGUUCCUGCCUUCCUUCGGUACGCGCAGGAUUUGCCAUGAUGCUUGGCGGCGGAGUUUGAAACAUACCUUUUAUCGGCUCAAGAUUUGGCUCGAAGACCACUUUGUAAAGGCCAGGCUCAAUAAAAACACAGCUUUUGGUAAAA